RNAcentral lists this ribosomal RNA (139 nucleotides) under Leptospiraceae bacterium. RNAcentral describes it as "partial 16S ribosomal RNA". It matches the Rfam family "Bacterial small subunit ribosomal RNA", at positions 1 to 147 of the family's 1533-position model. The record is from RNAcentral. Lineage: Bacteria; Pseudomonadati; Spirochaetota; Leptospiria; Leptospirales; Leptospiraceae.
AUAAUGGAGAGUUUGAUUCUGGCUCAGAACGAACGCUGGCGGCGCGUCUUAAACAUGCAAGUCGAACGAUCUGUAGCAAUACAGGGAGUGGCGGACGGGUGAGGAACACGUAGGAAUCUACCUCAGAGAGCGGGACAAC